This 1624-nucleotide long non-coding RNA is filed under the name Homo sapiens (human). Its description in RNAcentral is "HSALNT0069823". The record is from RNAcentral. Lineage: Eukaryota; Metazoa; Chordata; Mammalia; Primates; Hominidae.
AAAAAUCAUUGUGUAAGCAAUUCUGCCAAACAUGUAUUUAUCUACCCGAGCAAAUUUUAAACAAUUCCAUAGCUUGUGGACAUCUGACCUCAACAUUUCUGCAAAUUGCUAGGCCAUGUCCAAUUUCUUGCUCCUACAUUUUUUAUUAUCUUGUCUUGCCCAUGUUUUCAGGGUUGAAUUUGUUUUUCCUGUAAAUUUAUAUUGCUUGUGUUCCUAGGAUUGUUCUCUCAAACUAAUAUUUCAACUAAAGCUGAUGGUUUAAAAGAUGGCAAGGCAUACAGGAGAAUCUUUGAAGCUUGUGUAAUCAAGUAAUUGAAAACAAAUGGCGUUAUUUUUUUUUUUCUCCAAGGGCUCAACUCUAGCUACUAUUUUCAGUGAUUUAAUCUUCAUCCUGUUAUGUCACCUCUCACAGAUUGCCUGCAAAACACAGGCUUGCCAAAGGCACAUGAACAUUGCAGCUGCCUGUUUUCUGAUGAGUUGUAAAGCAGUAUUAAGCAGCUUUUUUACCCCCUUCUCUUUUAUGCUAAGAAUCUAAGGUUGUGCUGCCUUGACUGUAAUCAUCCUCCCAUGACCUACACAUUUAAAUGUCUCUAGACAAGUAACCUCUUCUCUCUGAAUUUCAACUAUCUUAUCCAUUGAAUGUGGACAAUAAGAUCACACUUAGAGAAUUGUUGCAAUAACAUGCAUGAAGCACAAAUUGAUAAUUAUUCCCCAUUAUCUAUUCUUCUUUUUAAUAAUUAAGCUUCUGGGUUUCAGCUGAGCACACAGUGUCCCAGCUAAAGACUGUAUUUUCCAGCCUCCCUUGCAAUUAGCUAAGCCCCUGUGACUAAGUUCCAGCCAGUGAUCUGUAAUACGAGUGCUGUUCAAUUCCUGGGUGGUGUUCUUAAAAGGAAGUUUCUUUUUCGGUCUGUCCUCUUUCCUUGUUCACAUAGGCUGGGAAGUUUACAUGAUGUUGGUGAAAUAACUUUGCAAGCAAAUAAGGGAAUAUCAUGAAAGAUGACGGAGAAACAAGAGAGAAGGAAUCUGAGUGCCUAUAAAAUCUCAUGGAGUUGGGACCCUAAACUACCUUUUAUAGUGAAAUUUCACAUAAGAAAAAAACAGACCCUUCUAUCUUAAAGAGUCAAACGAAAAUCCUAAGUUUAUCAGUGUAUAAAGCAUGUAGUACAGAUAUUAUAGGUAGAACAUAAUACAUUAGUCUAUUAUCUCUCCCCCCUUGUUUAGAACAGUGGUUCUGAGCCUGCACAGAAGACUCUCAAACCCUGGUUCCAUGAUAUUCUUCCAAACCCAGACAUUCUUUGCAAAUAAGAGUCACACAGUAGUACAAGAUGAAAACCUGGAGUUUAACUAACUUGCCCAAGACUACACAGCCAGUAGGAAUUAAAAGAAGAUUAGAACUGAGGUUUAUAUGAUAUCUGCUCAUGGACACCCAACAAUAACUUUAUACCCUUCCUCAGUUGGCUGAGAAGGUAAAACAAAGUAAAAUUGUUGAGCAACUACUAUGUGCUUUUACUGUGCUAGGCACAGAAUGUAAUACAAAUCAUUACUUCUGGUCCUUACUAUUUAAAGGGAAAAGAAGAAUACAUACAUAAACACUCAAUUGGGGGAGAAAUAGGAAAUGAUUAAA